This 451-nucleotide unclassified non-coding RNA is filed under the name air metagenome. RNAcentral describes it as "partial contains small subunit ribosomal RNA, internal transcribed spacer 1, and 5.8S ribosomal RNA". The record is from RNAcentral.
AAGUCGUAACAAGGUUUCCGUAAACGCACCUGCGGGAAUACUUGUGCACCAGUCCCCCCAGGGGCGAGGGAUGCAGUCUGCUGGAACGAAUACUCGAACCAGCAGCCACGCCCCGGGCGUGGUCCACAGACUAAAUGCGUCUCGUUGUUCCCAGGGGGACAAUUUUGAUAUAGUCGGUUCCAGCGGUAAUACGUCCCUGGAGUCAUCGAGGUGAACCUGCGGAAGGAUCAUUAAAAGAGACAGUAUCGCAGCCACAAGCUGCGACACAUCUCCACCCAUUGUCUGUUAUACAUCUGUUGCUUUGGCGGGCCCGGGGCGAAAGCCCCCGCUGGCUACCUGCUAGUUAGUGCCCGCCGAAGGCCAAUACCUAAAACUCUGAAGUAAACCAUGAAGUCUGAACAAUUACUAUGAAAAUAGCCUAAAACUUUCAACAACGGAUCUCUUGGUUCUG